CCCCACACAAUUACAAUUCUACCCCCGUCCAUGUAUGGACCCAAAACCCAUCCCAAUUACAAAUACAGACCCGAUUAUAAUUAUUUUGAUUGAUGAGCC
Telopea speciosissima is the source of this 99-nucleotide long non-coding RNA. RefSeq lists it as uncharacterized. NCBI's taxonomy places the organism in Eukaryota, Viridiplantae, Streptophyta, Magnoliopsida, Proteales, Proteaceae. The record is from RefSeq and is a predicted model, not a curated record. The transcript has 3 exons.